GAGGGUUAGCCCUGUCAGGUAGGAGGGUUAGCCCUGUCAGGUAGGAGGGUUAGCCCUGUCAGGUAGGAGGGUUAGCCCUGUCAGGUAGGAGGGUUAGCCCUGUCAGGUAGGAGGGUUAGCCCUGUCAGGUAGGAGGGUUAGCCCUGUCAGGUAGGAGGGUUAGCCCUGUCAGGUAGGAGGGUUAGCCCUGUCAGGUAGGAGGGUUAGCCCUGUCAGGUAGGAGGGUUAGCCCUGUCA
Molecule: long non-coding RNA, 237 nt
Organism: Oncorhynchus keta (chum salmon)
Lineage: Eukaryota; Metazoa; Chordata; Actinopteri; Salmoniformes; Salmonidae
Exons: 3
Source: RefSeq, a predicted model, not a curated record